Molecule: long non-coding RNA, 1758 nt
Organism: Ictidomys tridecemlineatus (thirteen-lined ground squirrel)
Lineage: Eukaryota; Metazoa; Chordata; Mammalia; Rodentia; Sciuridae
Source: RefSeq, a predicted model, not a curated record
GCUGGCGCAGAGCCUGCUGGGACCCGAGGACCGAGAAACCCGCCGCCAGAGGGCAGCAUCCAGGGGAGCGGGGACCCCGGAGCGGAGAGCAGGCGGCAGGCACACCUGGCUGACACCCAGGGGCGGGCAAAGGUCCGAGGUUCUGAUCCUGAUCAGAUUGAGCCCGGCAUUCACAGAAAGCAGGGGACCUAUGGAGACCCAUGGAGACGGGACCGAGGGUGGUAAGUGGGAGACAGGAGGAGCCUGGAGUCCAGCUUAGACUGAGAACAGAACCAGACUAACAGCCCGCCAGCCAGAAGACCAGAGGCCUACAACUUCAGUUCACAGAGAGGCCUUCUCCAAAAACACCCAAACGGCUUUCCUCUUGGUGGAAGAACCAAAAUCUGAACCAAGGAUGGUGGGAAAAUGGAGUCCCAGAGAGCAACGGGGGAGCUGUAAUUCACCAGGCUGUGAGCAUCUAAAUCAAUGAACUAAUUAAUGAGUAAACGAGCGUGAGUAAUGACGAAUGGCUGACCUAGUGGGUGGGAGGGGAGGCCAUUGGAGGAGUGAGAGACUGCAGGGGCACAGCGGGUGACCGGGAGAGUGAGGUCCUCCUUCCUCCCCUCCUUACCUUGGUCCACCUCCAGCUUCCAGGAAAAAGGCCCCUUUGCUCUCCUCUCGGGGAGAAUUCCAGAUUCUCUGCCAGGCUGUUGCCUAGCAACAGUGCCCUGCCUGGCCAGCCCCGCCCUCUCAGACGUCCAGGGCCGGGGUGCGCAGCCAACCCCGGGGCCUGGCCACUGGCAGGCAGGGAACGGGGGACCCGGGCUCCCAAGCUGAGGACAAGGAUGUCAGAGAUCGGGGAGCAGGCCGGGUGGGCUCUGAGGCCGGGGAAGGACCCCCAAGGAAAGACCACGUGGAGCAGCCGUGACUCUGGCCUGGGUCCCGGAACAGGGAGGGCGGAUGCAGGAUCCCACAGGCCUCGAGUCUGAAGUCCUGGGUUGGAGUGGACCUUGGAGCAGUCACUUCCCUUCCCGGACCUGCUUCCUCAUCUGCAGGAGGGAGACACGGUGCCACUCGCCAAGGGCCGGCGUGAGGAGGGAAGGCGCGCAGCGGGCUUGGAGCAAGCAGGCUGCUUUCAAAAGCAACCAGAAGCCCUGGGUCUGCAGGGCCCCUGAGGAGCAGCCCCUGAAGGACUUCUCCAGGUGGAAAUGGGGUGGGGAGAGGGGCAAUUCCUGGCGGAGGGAACAGCGAAGGCUGGAAGCCUGAAGCUGAAGUGCAUCUCAUAAUAGCUCAUGUUCGCCAAUGGCCAGGCACAUUUGCAUUGAACCCUCACCGCCGGCCACGAGGCUGGAACGCGUGGUGCUCCCAUUUUGCAGGAAAGGGAGUGUGGGCUCAGAGACCAGAAGGGGUACUGGAGGCCACACAGCAGGUGAACCAACUCCAGCUGCCUCUCCCCUGAAUUCCUCACCUAGGGGGAGCAAGAGCGAGAAGUGUGGCCACACCGUGUGCAGGGACCCCUUGUGUGCGACUGGAAGCACAGUGAAUUUCGAAAUCUGGGCAGGGGCAGUGGGGAGCCAUUGAUGGUUUCUGAGCUGGGAGAGGAUGCCCCAGGCCAGGUCCUCAGGUCCCUCGGUGCUGCCCCGGGCCAUCUGUCUCCACCUCCUACACUCUGCCACUCUUUGCAUCCAUGUCCCCCACCCUCCGCCCCCACUGCCUCUCAGCCACUGUGAGGAACCAUGUGUGACGGUGGAGAAUGUAAAAAUAUACGGAAAACAACAA